AGAUUUGUAAUAGUAAGGUGGUGGAGGGGAAUGUGAGGGGGGUGGGGGGGAUUUGUAAUAAUAAGGAGGUGGAGGUGAUGGGGAUGGAGGAGGUGGUGACUUGUACACAUAUGUUGGAGCCUUGUGCUCAUAAGAUGGUGGUGGAGGUGAUUUAUACUCAUAGGGUGGUGGGGGUGAUGGUGAAGGAGGUGGGGGAGACUUAUAUUCAUAAGAUGGAGACUUGUGCUCAUAGGGUGGAGGUGGUGGAGAUUUGUAAAUGUAAGAUGGUGGAGGUGACGGUGAGGGAGGCGGUGGUGACUUGUAAAUGUAAGGUGGUGGUGGUGAUGGUGAUGGUGGUGGGGGUGACUUGUACUGGUAAGAUGGAGCCUUGUGCUCAUAUGGUGGUGGAGGUGACGGUGAUGGAGGUGGUGGUGACUUGUAAAUGUAAGGUGGUGGAGGUGAUGGUGAUGGAGGUGGGGGUGACUUGUACUGGUAAGAUGGUGCCUUGUGCUCAUAUGGAGGCGGUGGUGACGGUGAUGGAGGCGGUGGUGACUUGUACACAUAAG
RNAcentral lists this long non-coding RNA (545 nucleotides) under Medicago truncatula (barrel medic). RNAcentral's name for it is "long non-coding RNA (MTRU_LNC006770)". The record is from RNAcentral. Lineage: Eukaryota; Viridiplantae; Streptophyta; Magnoliopsida; Fabales; Fabaceae.